AUUGAACGCUGGCGGCAGGCCUAACACAUGCAAGUCGAGCGGAUGAAGGGAGCUUGCUCCUGGAUUCAGCGGCGGACGGGUGAGUAAUGCCUAGGAAUCUGCCUGGUAGUGGGGGAUAACGUCCGGAAACGGGCGCUAAUACCGCAUACGUCCUGAGGGAGAAAGUGGGGGAUCUUCGGACCUCACGCUAUCAGAUGAGCCUAGGUCGGAUUAGCUAGUUGGUGGGGUAAAGGCCUACCAAGGCGACGAUCCGUAACUGGUCUGAGAGGAUGAUCAGUCACACUGGAACUGAGACACGGCCCAGACCCCUACGGGAGGCAGCAGUGGGGAAUAUUGGACAAUGGGCGAAAGCCUGAUCCAGCCAUGCCGCGUGUGUGAAGAAGGUCUUCGGAUUGUAAAGCACUUUAAGUUGGGAGGAAGGGCAGUAAGUUAAUACCUUGCUGUUUUGACGUUACCAACAGAAUAAGCACCGGCUAACUUCGUG
Molecule: ribosomal RNA, 484 nt
Filed under: uncultured bacterium
Lineage: Bacteria
Description: partial 16S ribosomal RNA
Rfam family: Bacterial small subunit ribosomal RNA
Source: RNAcentral